This 207-nucleotide ribosomal RNA is filed under the name uncultured bacterium. RNAcentral describes it as "partial 16S ribosomal RNA". It matches the Rfam family "Bacterial small subunit ribosomal RNA", at positions 568 to 774 of the family's 1533-position model. The record is from RNAcentral.
CGUGUAGGCGGUUUGGCAAGUCAGAGGUGAAAUCCCCCGGCUCAACCGGGGACCUGCCUUUGAAACUACCGAACUUGAGGCCGUGAGAGGAAACUGGAAUUCCUAGUGUAGCGGUGAAAUGCAUAGAUAUUAGGAAGAACACCAGUGGCGAAGGCGAGUUUCUGGCACGGUUCUGACGCUGAUGCGCGAAAGCUAGGGGAGCGAACG